Molecule: long non-coding RNA, 268 nt
Organism: Culex quinquefasciatus (southern house mosquito)
Lineage: Eukaryota; Metazoa; Arthropoda; Insecta; Diptera; Culicidae
Exons: 2
Source: RefSeq, a predicted model, not a curated record
CUGAGAAUGACAUUUUGCUGCAUUUUUUUUUGUUUGUUUGUUCAUUUAGCAUUGAGAAAUCAAAACAAAUAUUCAUGGAUAGCCAACUGUAGCAAGAUUCAAAUAUAAAAUCGAAAAAAUACAUGUUCUACCUGACAGGAACGGAGUUGACAGAUUUUAAUCGUAAAAACAAAAAACGAAAAAAAGGAGAGCCAGAACCGGAUGCCAUUUGAAAGAAGGAAAUAUUUAGAUUUAUUUAUUUCUUUUUUAAUAAACCAAUCAGCAAAAA